AUACGAAGGGUGCAAGCGUUACUCGGAAUUACUGGGCGUAAAGCGUGCGUAGGUGGUUGUUUAAGUCUGUCGUGAAAGCCCUGGGCUCAACCUGGGAAUGGCGAUGGAAACUGGGCGACUAGAGUGUGGCAGAGGGUAGUGGAAUUCCUGGUGUAGCAGUGAAAUGCGAAGAGAUCAGGAGGAACAUCCGUGGCGAAGGCGACUGCCUGGGCCAACACUGACACUGAGGCACGAAAGCGUGGGGAGCAAACAGGAUUAGAUACCCUGGUAGUCCACGCCCUAAACGAUGCGAACUGGAUGUUGGGUGCAAUUUGGCACGCAGUAUCGAAGCUAACGCGUUAAGUUCGCCGCCUGGGGAGUACGGUCGCAAGACUGAAACUCAAAUGAAUUGACGGGG
RNAcentral lists this ribosomal RNA (397 nucleotides) under uncultured bacterium. RNAcentral describes it as "partial 16S ribosomal RNA". It matches the Rfam family "Bacterial small subunit ribosomal RNA", at positions 523 to 918 of the family's 1533-position model. The record is from RNAcentral.